UGGGGAGUACGGCCGCAAGGUUAAAACUCAAAUGAAUUGACGGGGGCCCGCACAAGCGGUGGAGCAUGUGGUUUAAUUCGAUGCAACGCGAAGAACCUUACCUGGUCUUGACAUCCACAGAACUUUCCAGAGAUGGAUUGGUGCCUUCGGGAACUGUGAGACAGGUGCUGCAUGGCUGUCGUCAGCUCGUGUUGUGAAAUGUUGGGUUAAGUCCCGCAACGAGCGCAACCCUUAUCCUUUGUUGCCAGCGGUCCGGCCGGGAACUCAAAGGAG
RNAcentral lists this ribosomal RNA (273 nucleotides) under Escherichia coli. RNAcentral describes it as "partial 16S ribosomal RNA". It matches the Rfam family "Bacterial small subunit ribosomal RNA", at positions 874 to 1147 of the family's 1533-position model. The record is from RNAcentral. Lineage: Bacteria; Pseudomonadati; Pseudomonadota; Gammaproteobacteria; Enterobacterales; Enterobacteriaceae.